UUAAGUUCAGCGGGUACUCCUACCUGAUUUGAGGUCAAGCGUUGAUGUGUUUGUUCGCCGGAGCUGCGUCCAGCCGAAUGCGUUGCGUCGAGUUGGUGUUACCUAGCACGACUUCCGCCUCAGCAGAGCAGCCCAUGGGCUCUCAAUUUCAAGCUAACUCCCAUGUUACAGAGUAUCACUCACUACCAAACACAAGUGUU
Molecule: unclassified non-coding RNA, 200 nt
Filed under: Saccharomycetaceae sp.
Lineage: Eukaryota; Fungi; Ascomycota; Saccharomycetes; Saccharomycetales; Saccharomycetaceae
Description: partial internal transcribed spacer 2
Source: RNAcentral